Molecule: ribosomal RNA, 497 nt
Filed under: uncultured bacterium
Lineage: Bacteria
Description: partial 16S ribosomal RNA
Rfam family: Bacterial small subunit ribosomal RNA
Source: RNAcentral
GAUGAACGCUGGCGGCGUGCCUAAUACAUGCAAGUCGAGCGAACGGACGAGAAGCUUGCUUCUCUGAUGUUAGCGACGGACGGGUGAGUAACACGUGGAUAACCUACCUAUAAGACUGGGAUAACUUCGGGAAACCGUAGCUAAUACCGGAUAAUAUUUUGAACCGCAUGGUUCAAAAGUGAAAGACGGUCUUGCUGUCACUUAUAGAUGGAUCCGCGCUGCAUUAGCUAGUUGGUAAGGUAACGGCUUACCAAGGCAACGAUGCAUAGCCGACCUGAGAGGGUGGUCGGCCACACGGGAAGUGAGACACGGUCCAGACUCCGACGGGAGGCAGCAGUAGGGAAUCUUCCGGGAGGGGCGAAAGCGUGACGGAGCAACGCCGCGUGAGUGAUGAAGGUGCCCGGAUCGUAAAACUCUGUUAUUAGGGAAGAACAUAUGUGUAAGUAACUGUGCACAUCUUGACGGUACCUAAUCAGAAAGCCACGGCUAACUACGUG